GUGUCAGCAGCCGCGGUAAUACGUAGGGUGCGAGCGUUAAUCGGAAUUACUGGGGGUAAAGCGUGCGCAGGCGGUUUUGUAAGUCAGAUGUGAAAUCCCCGAGCUCAACUUGGGAACUGCGUUUGAAACUACAAGACUAGAAUAUGUCAGAGGGGGGUAGAAUUCCACGUGUAGCAGUGAAAUGCGUAGAGAUGUGGAGGAAUACCAAUGGCGAAGGCAGCCCCCUGGGAUAAUAUUGACGCUCAUGCACGAAAGCGUGGGGAGCAAACAGGAUUAGAUACCCUAGUAGUCC
This 292-nucleotide ribosomal RNA is filed under the name uncultured Methylotenera sp. Its description in RNAcentral is "partial 16S ribosomal RNA". It matches the Rfam family "Bacterial small subunit ribosomal RNA", at positions 505 to 796 of the family's 1533-position model. The record is from RNAcentral. Lineage: Bacteria; Pseudomonadati; Pseudomonadota; Betaproteobacteria; Nitrosomonadales; Methylophilaceae.